CAUUCUCUGGGGUGCGCGCCAGUUCAUCAGAUCCCCUGAGCCGAUGUUUAAUCCUAUGGGUUGUGGUUGUUUUUCGUGGUGUGCAUGUCCGCUAGUCGGAAAGCCUAAAAUGAAAACGCUGCUUCCCCCUUGAACCCCCGGGUUCAAGGGCCAAGAUGGACAGCGGCACCUCGGAGAGUCU
RNAcentral lists this non-coding RNA (181 nucleotides) under Moraxellaceae bacterium. RNAcentral's name for it is "6S RNA". It matches the Rfam family "6S / SsrS RNA". Rfam says of the family: E. coli 6S RNA was the first non coding RNA to be sequenced, but its function was unknown until recently. It consists of 184 nucleotides that fold into an extended hairpin structure with a large single-stranded internal bulge. Lineage: Bacteria; Pseudomonadati; Pseudomonadota; Gammaproteobacteria; Moraxellales; Moraxellaceae. RNAcentral also lists the same sequence under 1 other name. The record is from RNAcentral.